GUGAACGCUGGCGGUAGGCCUAACACCUGCAGGUCGAACGGCAGCACAGUAAGAGCUUGCUCUUACGGGUGGCGAGUGGCGGACGGGUGAGGAAUACAUCGGAAUCUACUUUUUCGUGGGGGAUAACGUAGGGAAACUUACGCUAAUACCGCAUACGACCUACGGGUGAAAGCAGGGGAUCUUCGGACCUUGCGCGAUUGAAUGAGCCGAUGUCGGAUUAGCUAGUUGGCGGGGUAAAGGCCCACCAAGGCGACGAUCCGUAGCUGGUCUGAGAGGAUGAUCAGCCACACUGGAACUGAGGCACGGUCCAGACUCCUACGGGAGGCAGCAGUGGGGAAUAUUGGACAAUGGGCGCAAGCCUGAUCCAGCCAUACCGCGUGGGUGAAGAAGGCCUUCGGGUUGUAAAGCCCUUUUGUUGGGAAAGAAAAGCAGCAGGUUAAUACCCCGCUGUUCUGACGGUACCCAAAGAAUAAGCACCGGCUAACUUCGUG
This 491-nucleotide ribosomal RNA is filed under the name uncultured bacterium. RNAcentral describes it as "partial 16S ribosomal RNA". It matches the Rfam family "Bacterial small subunit ribosomal RNA", at positions 29 to 507 of the family's 1533-position model. The record is from RNAcentral.